UCCAGGUCUCUUUAUGGGAGAACUCUGCGUUGCCCAAACUCUCCCCCACUGCUCCUUCAGGUGCACUUUCCUUCACACUCGGACCUGGUCUUCUUAAGGGCUUUUUGAAAAAUUGCCACAAUAUGAAAAAGAUGCUGAGAGUCUAGAAAGAGUGCAGAGAAGAGCAACUAAGAUGAUAAGAGGCCUGAAGGUUAAAUUGUAUGACCAUCAGUUAAGGGAACUAGCUAUGUCUAGCCUAUCAAAGAGAAAUAUUAGGGGUGACAUGACAGCUGUCUUCCAGUAAUUGAGGGGCAGCCAAACAGAUGAGGGGGUUGACUUAUUCUCAAAAGCACCUAAGACUGGACAAGAAGCAAUAUGUGGAAGCUCUUUAAAGUGAGAUCCUAUUGCAAUUUACUCUGCCAAGCAAGAAAUCUCUCCAGGUCUGCUCAUUCAACACUGCAGUCCUUUUUCACUCUCAGCUGUGUGUAUUUUUCUUGUUAGUUCACCCUCUGAUUGCACUAAAUGCAUCAGCAGAAUUUUGUAGUUACAUAUCUACCAAUAUUGAAAAAUAGAUAAAACUCUGAGUAGCAUUCAUUCAGCCACUCAGUUUGUUUUGCUUUUCCUUGGUGAGGUCAUGCCUCAUAAUGGUGCUAACAGGGGCAUGAGCUCACAAAGGAGAAGUAAAUAAAACCUUUUGGUGGACUGAGUGAAAACUAUUCACUCAAGAGUUUUAUCUUGUGUGGGUGCUUAGUGUGUCUCUCGAAGUACCAAGAACGAAGAAGAAAACAGAGGGAGCACUUCCAAGAAUUAACAGCAAGGCAUCAGGAGGAGCUGGCAGAAAAGAAUGCCAGAAUAACUGCUCUGGAAGAAGAAAAUAAAACGCUUGCCAGCAAUUUAGCACAUAUUGUGAAGGAAAACAACGAGAUUAAAAAGAAGCUCCAAAAAGCUGAAGAGAGGCUUGCCCAGCUGACCCCUGACACUGCAACGUUAAUAGAGCGGCUGAGGAAACGGGAGACGGAGGCAAUGGAAGAGGAAGAAGAGAUGAGCUCCCAGUUUUCUUUUUGGGGAGAAUUCAAUUAAGAAUCCAAGAAGGCAACAAAAUGAUCGAAAUACCUCCCUACCAACAAUCAACAUUCACAUGAACAAAAUUAACAUCAUACCAACAAUCAAGGAGUAAACAAUGUUCCAGUGAAGAAACUGCCAAACAAGCUAACAGUAAACAGCCCAACCAAAGAAGAUCACACAAACCGACUACAAAGAACGGCAUGACAAAGUAGCCACAGGGGUGCAUUGCAAGAUCCACACGAAAUACCAUUUGCCUGCAAGCAAAAACUGGUGGGACCAUAAAAUAUAGAAAAUGAAGAACCUAAAGUGUUCUGGAGUUUAGAAUCCAAAAAGACAGGCACUUGCCAUAUAACAAGCCAACUGUCGAUAAGAAAGACAAAAAAAGUCUAGACAGUGGACUGGGCAGUACUGGAAACAGCAGAUUAGAGAAGAAGGAGAAACUAAAAAUACAAAUACAGAAGAAGGAGCAAGACCAAGAGAACAGAGACAAAUAAGAUUGACUAGAAGAUUAAAACCUAGAAAUAAUCGAAAUAGAUGGAGAAAGAAAAUGGGAUGCUUUCAAUGAAUAUAAAUGGAUAGAACUCCCCCUCAAAAAGGAAACUUUUUUUGCACGACUACAAAAAUUAAAAAUAGACAUAAUUUACCUUCAAGAAACACAUAUCAAGAGACAACACUAUAAAUUGUUACAGCAAUCAAAAAUUGGCAAACUCCGUUUUGCAUUAGCACAACAAAAGAAAAGAAGAACAGCUUUAUACAGUAUAUUAAAAAAACAUACAGACCAGAAUGGUUUUUUAUCUAAAAGACAAAUAAAAAAAAUAACUUAAGAAUGAUUGUAGAUGUUUUGGAGUACUAUGAAACCCACCCAGGGAAACAGAUGGCAUUAAUAUUUAUAGAUGCACAGAAGACAUUUGAUAACAUAAAUUGGCAAUUCAUGUUCCAGCAACUAGAAGAAAUGGACUUUGGAAAAAAAAUUAUAAACAUAAUCAAAACAAUUUAUAAUGAACAAACAGCUAAAGUAACUGUAAAUGGAAAUUUUACAGAAAAUUUUAAUAUUAAAAAAGACACAAGAUAGGGAUGCCCACUAUCCCCAUUACUAUUUAUACCAACACUGGAAGUAUUGAAUAGAAACAAUUAGGCAAGAUAUAGAAAUUAAAGGAAUGGGGGAAAAAAGACGAAAAAUAUAAACUACAAGCAUUUGCAGAUGACCACCAGCAACUUUGCAAACUGGGAGUAAGUGUAUCAAAAACCUAUAAAUUGAUCUAAAAUGCAUAUUGUAGCUUAUAUAUUUAAAUAUACCCUUUAGUUAAUUUUUAGUUUCAUGGCACAAUAAAAAAAUAUUGUUUAAUGUGCUUGCUCUGAGCAGUGAGUGUACAACAGAAUAUUUUAAGAAAUGCAUAUUUUGCAUGCACUACUGCUUCAAUCCCUAAUAGCACACAUAUUUUAUAUUAUAAAUUGUUACUUGUGGGGUGAUCUGAAUUGGAAUAUGAUCUGUGCAUGACCAUACUUGAUGGAUCAAUCUGGGACUGAGUGGCUGGUGACACCUUGAUCCAACCUCUGGGAGUCCUUUUAAAUCCCUUGACAGCCUCUGGAUGGAAUAGUAGCUCCAAAGAAUUCUGUAGUACACCAGUUGUUUUAGUCUUAGGGAAAACUGGUGACUGUAUUCAGAACUUUAGAAGUGCUGUUUACAAUGUAUGCCUGGAAGAAAUUCCAAUGCUCCUCAAGUGGAUCUUUAUGCAAGGAAUGCAAGACUCCAAGGAUGCCUAAUUCUAAUCCACAAAUAAGUCCGGUUGAAAAACUGUCACCUCUGCUUUCCAGUCAGAACCCCUAAUAAUCUGUCCCUGAUAUUAGUUUUCGGUCCUGGCUCCAAGGAGACCUAACUCUAACCCUAGUUUAAUUUUCAUUGGCAAUGGGAUUUUGCUAUGUAUUUUAUCCUAGUCCACAAAUGAGUCCAGACAGCACAUUGUCACCUCCUCUUUGCUUGGAGAACCUGUCAGGGAGUCCUCCUUAAGACCUGUUCCCCAAAAAGCACCUGGUCCCCUUUUAGUAGAGGGGGAGACCCAUUAUGAAAUAAAACAAAUUCUUGAUUCUAUGUUGUACAAAGGAAAAUUACAAUAUUUAGUACAGUGGAAGGGAUACCCACUAUCAGAAGCUACUUGGGUAAAACAUACUGACGUCAAGGCAGAGAGAUUGAUACGUAGAUUUUUUUGAUAAGCACCCUCAUAAACCUCGGGGAGAUUCCUAACUCUAACUUUUCUUCAUCUGCAGGAUUUGUUGCCACAGUACUGGGAGGGGGGAUGAGUGCUUUUAAGGUUAAACAAUAAAUUGUGCCUUGGGAACCAAGGUCAUUGCUGCCUGACGUUUGGCGGGCUGAGCCUUCUGUUAGAAUGUCCGCCAAAGUAUUAUAUUGGGGAACGUGGAUGACAUACUGAUGGGGUGGGAACUUCAACUUUGUAACGCUGCAACACUUGGGAGGGAACUCCAGACUUGGUUUCACUUUUGACUGUAC
Molecule: RNA transcript, 3550 nt
Organism: Crotalus tigris (Tiger rattlesnake)
Lineage: Eukaryota; Metazoa; Chordata; Lepidosauria; Squamata; Viperidae
Gene name: rho-associated protein kinase 2-like
Exons: 5
Source: RefSeq, a predicted model, not a curated record